This is a long non-coding RNA of Thalassophryne amazonica, 154 nucleotides long. RefSeq lists it as uncharacterized. The transcript is spliced from 3 exons. The record is from RefSeq and is a predicted model, not a curated record. Lineage: Eukaryota; Metazoa; Chordata; Actinopteri; Batrachoidiformes; Batrachoididae.
UCACUGAGUUGAAAAAACAAAUUCGCCUCUUGACGGGGUGUCGAAUAUGUCGUGAAAGCUGUAUCUCACUGGACUGGAGCACAAGAGGCUGGGAGCAAGCUAAAGUGAGAGAAACAAGGUUGGGGAGAAAGAUCAGAAGUGGGUACUUACAUGU